Molecule: long non-coding RNA, 4528 nt
Organism: Cygnus olor (mute swan)
Lineage: Eukaryota; Metazoa; Chordata; Aves; Anseriformes; Anatidae
Exons: 3
Source: RefSeq, a predicted model, not a curated record
AUUUCAUGUAACAUACACUUUUAGCAAGGCUAGCAGGAAACCAACCUAUUUUACAGGAAAUGGACAUUUCCAAGUCACUGUCUACCUCAAGUCAGAGACAUAAUGUUGAUGUUUCCCACGCAGGGAAAUGUCCCCACAAUAAUUUCAGAGCAAAAUGUUCAAAAUAUGUAAAAUGUUAAAGACUGCUAGCAUCUACAGAAUCCAAGCAAAAUAAAUUGAGGAGGGAUUUUUGCUGUUUUGUUGUUGUUGUUGUUGUUGUUACUGUUUCAUGUGGAGUCAAAAUUAAGCUUGUAGACCUAUAAAUCAUUCACCAAUCUAUCAAAAUCGAUAUCAAAAUAACAGCGUGGUAAUGGUGAAAACUGGAAAGAUCCUUUCCACACAUUGCUUUAAGUUCUGGCAAAGAGACAGUAGCAAAUGAUCCUAGCAAACUAACUUUUUAAAGCACUGCAUUUUGGCAUAGCAUACUCUUGAAAUAUUCUGUGGACUAAUCAGUUUUCUUUCCCUUUUUCUUUCAUGAGCUGUCUCCUUCCUUCCACAGACUGUAGUGAAGUGCAUGGACAUAAGGCUGUGAGGCUCCUUUUAUCUUGCUAACCCACCCAAAGCUUAAAUGAACGCUAAUGCUGAAAGGAGCUAUAUUAACAAUUGAUGUGACUUAAUGGACCAAUUUUUUCUGACACACAAACUCAAUUCUUCACUGAACUUUAUUUAAUUUCUCUGUAUCCCUAAUUACUCGUGAAGAUUUGUUUUUUGAUUACAUGCUAUAUCGUGAACUGCAACCAACACCUAUUGGAAUGAAUUUUACCCUAGUCAAGCAACUCCUCCACCAUCCUGAUCUGGUGAACCUCCUACAGCAGGACACAGAAAGCAGGACAAAAGACUCUUAUCACAGACCAUCAUGAUGGUGAAGAAAUACAUCAAGUGUUGGAGAGAGUCAAAAAGGACAGAGAACAUCAGUGGUGCUUAGAUGGUCUCCUACGGCAACUGGAGUACUGAACCUGACACUACACCCUAUGAUGAUUUUACUAACUCUUAUCAUUUGAUGUUUACUGUUAACCGUUGCUUUAUACAUCAGGGUUUGGAGGGUGGCAAAACAAGCUGUGCUUCUGAAAAAUCUCCCUCACGUGUACAAAACAGUUUAAAUUUUCAGCUUAUACAACUGGGCAUGUGAAAACAAAGGAAUAAGCGUUGUACUUUAAUUCAUGCUAAUGAUUCCCAAAGUAGCACACAUACAGGCAUAAACCAUUUGCCAAUACAUUCAUCCAACUGAAGCAAGAGGUAACCCUGCUACGGCUCCGUGAGGACAAAGCAAAUUGACUGCAGUCACAGGGUGGAAUGUGGCAGGUACACUCUAUUCCUGCUCUUGGCGUAAGUCUUGCUCAGGCUUAUGAGCCACAGUAGGCCUCAACGUGAUCAUUCCUUGAACUGGACAGCUCAUUCAUAACAGAGCGCCAGGCAGAUGCUCGAUGCCAUGAAAUCUCUCAUGGGAAAAUGAUAAAUCACAUCAGAGUCCAAGAACAACAUGAUAAGGAAUCUGAGUUUGACUAGGAGUCAGCCACUUUAUCUAAAAAAUAUGGCACAGCAUCAUCCUUUUGUUGUCUAUGAUCCAAGGAAAAUCUGUCACAGCAUUGUUCCUCUGUUAUCUACACAGUGUGGUGAAGCCUGACACUGCCUCCCUUGCUAUUUUUACGAUACAGGCAUGGGACGAUCAGGCCUCUCCCUUGACUGUAUCCAAGGUCCCUGUGGCACAGCUAAUUGACAAGGGCACAAUUAAGUGCUAAGGGGAGGGGAAUUGCACAACCUGAGCCACAAAGUGAAAAAGGCCCGAAUCCUGGAAAAUCACUGACUAAAAGUCAAUUAUCUUAUGAUCCUAUAAAUAGUGAUCCCAAGCAAGAACUCUUGGAGCUCUCCAGGGACGGUAGCGGGCUGCACCCUCAGUCUCUCCAGGAGCUGGGAUGCCUCUCAGGGCACGUGAGAGGAGAAGCACAUCUCAGGGAUGACUCCUGAGGAACAAGCUCAACUACAGACAAAUGCUGAUGGGGGAGUAAGUGAAAAUCCUAUGACUUGCUCUGAAAGUAGGCUCAAAGGAACAGAGAAACUCAUCCCAGCCACCUAACUGGAGGCAACCCAAAGCUUUGGCUUCGAAGAAUAUUUUGAUUUUAAGUAACUCAGCCACAGAAAACAGGUACCUUCUGUGGCAUCACUACCUAUGAAUUCUCUUCAGUUCUCUUGCACUGCAGCCUGGAGAUUGUCCCGUUAACACAUCCAACCAUUCUACAAAAUGGCAACAGAACGGCCUGGUGGAUAAGAAAUGGCAGAAUCAGCCAAAGCAGCAAUGGUUGCCCUGCAGGGGAACAAAGAAAAUGGUUACUACUGUAAGGCAGAGCAUGUAUCUGUGUGGGUCUCCCAUUCCAUCAGCACAAAGAUCAGGUGGUACCUUCUGGCACAAGUGCACAAGCAUUCACAGUACCUCAGGGAAAAAAAUGUAUAUUUUUUGAGAGAGAUGCCAGAUGGCAAAUCAAGCCAAGGGAAAACAAGAGCUACCGAAGCUCUGACCAGCCAACAGAAAAACUCUGUUUGCCAGAUGUCUCUUUUCUCCCAGUUUUUGAGGGGACUGAGGUAUUUAGAUUACUUAUUGUUCAGUGCUGGCAUAAUGAAACCUGAUUCUCAGUUGCUCACAGACAUGACUAGCAGCAACAAGAAUAACUAACUUUAUUGAUAAAUAGCUCAUCAGGUGAAAGUGGACAUAGGUUAUAUAGAAUGAGUCAGCAAUUCUACUUCAAGUAUGAGAGGCUGAAACUGCAGUAGUCCAAACAGAAUGAGUAUCAGCUAGGUUACAAGCAGGUAUAUGAGUGAUUAGUUGAAGUUUGAACAUAAUCUUUAAGAGACCUUCAUAGGUCUGCCCAGGCCCUAUGAAUCUGUGUUUGUGCAUUCACAUACACAGCAUUGCUGUCACAACAGCUCUUUGGGAGAUAUUCUAGAGUGAAUGGAGCUACUGAUGCAGGAUGAGUAUUGAAAGGAAGAGCUUCAGGAAGAGCAAACAAGAACAAUCCCAUCAGAGACUAUGUUAUAACUUAGGAGGUAAAACAACAUAGUAGGAGGUAAGGGGUGAAACCACUUCCAUGGGUAAAAGAAAGACUAUUCAUGCUGAGAAUAGUCAUUAACUUGAUGAGAGGAAGCCGUUAGCUUCUUUGCUUGAUUUUUUUUUUGAAAGAUUGAUGCAGGAAACACUCAAAAAGGGCUUAAGCAAAGGUAGGACCCACACUGGUGACCACUGUCCACAUAGAGCAUCUGUGGCAGAGGAAUGUGAAAAGCUUAGAUGCCUGCAGGCUACGAGAAAACUGAGCAGAGGGCUUCUGAAUAACUAAAUUUUGAGUUUAGACACUUAUAAAGAAAGCUAAGUAUAUAUCUAUUUUUUUGAACCUAGCCCCCUUUUAAAACAAAACAAAACAAAACAAACAAAAAAAAACAGCAUCACUGUAGCAUAUCAUGAGGUUCUGUGGAUGUUGUAGAGUUUGCUUCUGAUCUGUAGUACAAAACUGAAGCCAGAGAUAAUGCCACAGAGGAAAGUGGAACAUGGUGGUGUAAAAAGUGUUAAAGGAGACCAAAAUCUGCCCUGCAACUAGAGAUGUCUGUAAAGACUGGAUGUUCUUUGAGUCAUUAUGUAACACAUGGCAUCAAAAUAUUCAGUUGCUUCCAGAAUUUUGAAAAGUAAUGAAAAUAAAGUCAUUUUUAAAAGAGAUGAAGCCAUGAUUUUUAAGAAUUGUGCUGAAUACAUUUUUGCCUUGCUGGAUUGUUGUAUAUGAAAGUGUGUUAUUAAAAGCAGCACUGGGUCACUUUAUCUUCUCUAUCAAAAUAAAUAUCCUUUAACUUUUUUUUCUAUGAAGUAUGUAAGGGUACGAUAAGGAGAAGCUGAAAAAUUAGUAACAGAUCUUUGAAAUGGAAAUUGCCUAAUAAAUGAUUAUCAGUGAUAACAGAUGACUUGUAGAAUGUGAUAAUGCAUCAAGGAAAUGUUUUUUGAAAUGCUGAUGCAAGCAAGCCUCUAAAAUAGACUCUUAUUGCUACAGCAUGUCCAAAAAUCUUCUCUUCAAUCACUGUACUUCUAAAGUAUGUCUAUGCACACUGAUAUUGGCAAUGUACCUGGUAUAUUCACAAAAAAUAAUGAUUUUGGAAGAAAGUGUAGGUGACGUGGCAGGCAUGACUUUUGCAUUAAACAAUAAGAAACUGCUAUUGUUCUCUGGAUUCUGAUUUGUAAAAAAAUUUAAUUAGUAAAACAAGGUUUCUAAAAUAUCUAUAAAUUUUUGGAGUUACCAUUCUUGGCCUUUCAGGUUUCAGAUGACUACAAAUUAAUCACAAACUGAAGAAAAGUGGAUUCAGUGGGGGAAGAAAGAGGGGAAGGGUUGUGAGUAUUUGUUUUCAUUCAGAUCACAGUCAAAUUUGUGAGAUCAAUGUAAUCUUAGGCCUUCUUUGUGUAAAAUGUGUGGCCUGUUUUUGUUAAUAAAGUGUUUUUCAAUAAUGGCAGGAGAAGAAC